AUACAUGAAAUGACAAAUAUGACUAUUAUUAUAAGCCAUCUGUAGAUACCUACUACAUUACUUCUAGUUAUCAGGGAGAAAAGAAAAUACUGGUCCUUUAUUCAUUAUUGUCAUAUCGAUGUUUCUGAGUUUUAUACCCCCACAUAUAUCGACAAUUCACAGCGUUGUCACAUGAAAUGAAAUAAUGUCCUGUCCAUACAUUGAUUGCUUCAACCAUCAAAGAUUCUACUGUCUAUACUUGUGAUUUGGAAAACUGAAUUAGCCCUCUUCUAUUCACUUGAUAUAAUUGUAGUCUACUAGUUCUAAUUCAAACAAGCCUAGAAGAUUUAUGAGAAUGUUCAAGAUCUACUACAUUUUUAAUAGCCUGGCAACGUUGGUGCCAUGUUUACGUAGGCAGAGGAUUGAGGAUCUACGCAGGCCCGACCAGCCAAUAGGCUAUUAGUUAUCGUUACAAUACACGCAUGUGGCAGUCACGGCCGUGUUUCUAUGCUAUGCUAUGCGGCAUGCGCUGUUCGUAGUUCGUUCUCCUUGUCGUCCAUCUUGAAAUAGUUUCGUGAGCUGUGUGUGUUUACUGUGUUUGUUUUGUCUGGAGGAAAUUAAUUGUACUUUGUCAUGAGUGAUUGAAAUGGAUUCUGAUUCAACAUAGUGAUGGACAAGCUUAAACAUCUGCUAAAAAACAAAAUGACCGAUUUUGAAGAAAGCUCUCCACUUUCAAGUCUACUAAUAUGAUGAAAAAGAUAUUUGAGGCCGUAGUGCUGAUGUGGGUACAUCUGAUUGAAGCAAUCUAAAAAUAUAGGAAUAGACAAUUAUAUUUAUUUAAAGAGGUGUGCUCAAUGUAUAUACCUGAAUUUUGGAAACUACUAUUUUAUUAUUUUCUGAAUAAAUUGGUUUGAGACCUAAA
This is a long non-coding RNA of Coccinella septempunctata (seven-spotted ladybird), 901 nucleotides long. RefSeq lists it as uncharacterized. The transcript has 2 exons. The record is from RefSeq and is a predicted model, not a curated record. Lineage: Eukaryota; Metazoa; Arthropoda; Insecta; Coleoptera; Coccinellidae.